UAGAUGCGAGAGUAGAGCAUAUCAAUAAGCGGAGGAAAAGAAACUAACAAGGAUUCCCUUAGUAACGGCGAGUGAAGCGGGAAGAGCUCAAAUUUGAAAUCUUCAAGGUUCUACCUUGACGAAUUGUAGUUUAAAGAAGUGUUUUCUGUUAGAUGAGUAGCAAAAGUUCCUUGGAAUGGGACAUCAUAGAGGGUGAGAAUCCCGUAUUUGGUUAUUCAUUCUAGCUUUGUGAUACACUUUCAAAGAGUCGGAUUGUUUGGGAAUGCAGUCCAAAAUGGGUGGUAAAUUUCAUCUAAAGCUAAAUAUUGGCGAGAGACCGAUAGCGAACAAGCACCGUGAGGGAAAGAUGAAAAGAACUUUGAAAAGAGAGUUAAACAGUACGUGAAAUUGUCAAAAGGGAAGCGUUUGACACCAGUGUUGUUUUUCCGAAAAUCAAUUACGAAUGGCUUGAUUUUGUGUUGUAUUGACCUUAUCAGCUUUCUGCACUUUUUUCGAGUCUUUCUUAAUGCACUUUUCGGUUAACAAGUCAACAUCAAUUUCUUUUGUUGUAAAAGAGUAUUCGGAAGGUGGCUUUCUUUUCGGAGAAAGUGUUUAUAGCCCUAUACUUCUACAAUCGGAGAGAUUGAGGUCUGCAGCGUAGAUCCUUCGGGGUUAGAUACACUUGUGCUAAGUUGUAGCUUUUCAUAGACAACUUGUUGACUAUGUUUAGUCAUGCGGCUUACUCGCUUAUGCUAUUUUACCUACGCUUAGGAUGUUGAGCGCAUGUCUCUCUCU
This 774-nucleotide ribosomal RNA is filed under the name uncultured Neocallimastigales. Its description in RNAcentral is "partial large subunit ribosomal RNA". It matches the Rfam family "Eukaryotic large subunit ribosomal RNA", at positions 22 to 637 of the family's 3401-position model. Lineage: Eukaryota; Fungi; Neocallimastigomycota; Neocallimastigomycetes; Neocallimastigales. The record is from RNAcentral.